UACGUAGGGUGCAAGCGUUGUCCGGAAUUAUUGGGCGUAAAGAGCUCGUAGGCGGUCUGUCGCGUCGGCUGUGAAAACCCGGAGCUCAACUCCGGGCCUGCAGUCGAUACGGGCAGACUGGAGUUCGGCAGGGGAGACUGGAAUUCCUGGUGUAGCGGUGAAAUGCGCAGAUAUCAGGAGGAACACCGGUGGCGAAGGCGGGUCUCUGGGCCGAUACUGACGCUGGGGAGCGAAAGCGUGGGGAGCAAACAGG
Molecule: ribosomal RNA, 253 nt
Filed under: uncultured bacterium
Lineage: Bacteria
Description: partial 16S ribosomal RNA
Rfam family: Bacterial small subunit ribosomal RNA
Source: RNAcentral